RNAcentral lists this long non-coding RNA (227 nucleotides) under Trifolium pratense (red clover). Its description in RNAcentral is "long non-coding RNA (TPRA_LNC000399)". Lineage: Eukaryota; Viridiplantae; Streptophyta; Magnoliopsida; Fabales; Fabaceae. The record is from RNAcentral.
AGUUCAAGGUUCUUCGCGGCGGUUGUUGGCAAAAGAUGAAUUUUGAGAGAGAAAAUUCUCAAAUGAGUGAGAGAGACAACUCUCAAAUGAGUAGAAUCAACCAACACCAUGAUUUAAUAGCAAAUCCAUGGAUUCAACACUACAGAUCUUCAAGCAAACAAGAAAGUGCAAUAGCUGCAUCCCCUAUAACUCAACAAGUUGUUAGUUUCAGCCAAAAGAAGAAAAAU